Molecule: non-coding RNA, 167 nt
Organism: Pelobates cultripes (western spadefoot toad)
Lineage: Eukaryota; Metazoa; Chordata; Amphibia; Anura; Pelobatidae
Source: the annotation of a GenBank genome assembly
GCAGACACAUUCCAGCCAAUCAGCAGCAGACCCUCCCUCCCAGAUCCUUCCAUCUCCUCCCAUCUCCUGGACAGCUCACUAAGAAUGCAGCUUCAAAAUGGAUGCUGUCCAGGAGGUGGGAGGGUCUGGGAGGGAGGGUCUGCUGCUGAUUGGCUGGAAUGUGUCUG